GGAGCACUGACUGGGAUUUGUUUUUGUGUGUCAUCUCACUUUACUUCAACUCCAAGUGCAGACUAUCAUCUGUACCUGAGGAAUUAUCCCUCCUAACCCUAAUCUCAGCCUGACUGCUAAUCUUGGGCAGCGUCUGAGCACUUUUCCUCCUCUGGAUGAUUUACAGCAGUCAGACAUUCAGCAGUUAGUCUGGGUUGGCUUGGCUGAGUGUGUGAAAACAACAAAGACUCUCAUAGGAUGGAUGCCAAAGAAGAGACGCUGAACCUCCUGAACAGGAUUUGGGUAAAGUUGCAGGGUCUGCCCAGAGCCAACGCUAUAGAGGUGGGAGCUUUCUCCAUCCUUCUGACCUUCAUCUUGGUGGUCCUGUUCAUGAUAGUGCUGACCUGCGUGACCUGCUGCUGCUGUCGCAAGACCAGGAUGAAGGGACCAAACAUCUGAGCAAAUGUGCUCCACACAAGGAGAAUUUCAGUUCAUUAUCAUCAGGCAUCUAAGCACAGGAGAUGGUGCACACACAAAAAAAUCCCACAAAUGCAGGCUUUCGCUGCAGCACCAUGAAUCCUGUAGAGUCAAUGA
Long non-coding RNA from Seriola dumerili (greater amberjack), 573 nucleotides. RefSeq lists it as uncharacterized. Lineage: Eukaryota; Metazoa; Chordata; Actinopteri; Carangiformes; Carangidae. The record is from RefSeq and is a predicted model, not a curated record. The transcript has 4 exons.